AAGUGUGUAGCUCAGUCAGUAGAACACCUGACUUUUAAUCUGAGGGUCCAGGGUUCAAGUCCCUAUUCAGGGA
RNAcentral lists this transfer RNA (73 nucleotides) under Anguilla anguilla (European eel). RNAcentral describes it as "tRNA-OTHER". The record is from RNAcentral. Lineage: Eukaryota; Metazoa; Chordata; Actinopteri; Anguilliformes; Anguillidae.